UUAAGUUAUUAAGGGCGCACGGUGGAUGCCUUGGCACUAGAAGCCGAUGAAGGACGUUACUAACGACGAUAUGCUUUGGGGAGCUGUAAGUAAGCUUUGAUCCAGAGAUUUCCGAAUGGGGAAACCCAGCAUGAGUUAUGUCAUGUUAUCGAUAUGUGAAUACAUAGCAUAUCAGAAGGCACACCCGGAGAACUGAAACAUCUUAGUACCCGGAGGAAGAGAAAGAAAAUUCGAUUCCCUUAGUAGCGGCGAGCGAAACGGGAAGAGCCCAAACCAACAAGCUUGCUUGUUGGGGUUGUAGGACACUCUAUACGGAGUUACAAAGGACGACAUUAGACGAAUCAUCUGGAAAGAUGAAUCAAAGAAGGUAAUAAUCCUGUAGUCGAAAAUGUUGUCUCUCUUGAGUGGAUCCUGAGUACGACGGAGCACGUGAAAUUCCGUCGGAAUCUGGGAGGACCAUCUCCUAAGGCUAAAUACUCUCUAGUGACCGAUAGUGAACCAGUACCGUGAGGGAAAGGUGAAAAGCACCCCGGAAGGGGAGUGAAAUAGAACCUGAAACCGUGUGCUUACAAGUAGUCAGAGCCCGUUAAUGGGUGAUGGCGUGCCUUUUGUAGAAUGAACCGGCGAGUUACGAUUUGAUGCAAGGUUAAGCAGUAAAUGUGGAGCCGUAGCGAAAGCGAGUCUGAAUAGGGCGUUUAGUAUUUGGUCGUAGACCCGAAACCAGGUGAUCUACCCUUGGUCAGGUUGAAGUUCAGGUAACACUGAAUGGAGGACCGAACCGACUUACGUUGAAAAGUGAGCGGAUGAACUGAGGGUAGCGGAGAAAUUCCAAUCGAACCUGGAGAUAGCUGGUUCUCUCCGAAAUAGCUUUAGGGCUAGCCUCAAGUGAUGAUUAUUGGAGGUAGAGCACUGUUUGGACGAGGGGCCCCUCUCGGGUUACCGAAUUCAGACAAACUCCGAAUGCCAAUUAAUUUAACUUGGGAGUCAGAACAUGGGUGAUAAGGUCCGUGUUCGAAAGGGAAACAGCCCAGACCACCAGCUAAGGUCCCAAAAUAUAUGUUAAGUGGAAAAGGAUGUGGCGUUGCCCAGACAACUAGGAUGUUGGCUUAGAAGCAGCCAUCAUUUAAAGAGUGCGUAAUAGCUCACUAGUCGAGUGACACUGCGCCGAAAAUGUACCGGGGCUAAACAUAUUACCGAAGCUGUGGAUUGUCCUUUGGACAAUGGUAGGAGAGCGUUCUAAGGGCGUUGAAGCAUGAUCGUAAGGACAUGUGGAGCGCUUAGAAGUGAGAAUGCCGGUGUGAGUAGCGAAAGACGGGUGAGAAUCCCGUCCACCGAUUGACUAAGGUUUCCAGAGGAAGGCUCGUCCGCUCUGGGUUAGUCGGGUCCUAAGCUGAGGCCGACAGGCGUAGGCGAUGGAUAACAGGUUGAUAUUCCUGUACCACCUAUAAUCGUUUUAAUCGAUGGGGGGACGCAGUAGGAUAGGCGAAGCGUGCGAUUGGAUUGCACGUCUAAGCAGUAAGGCUGAGUAUUAGGCAAAUCCGGUACUCGUUAAGGCUGAGCUGUGAUGGGGAGAAGACAUUGUGUCUUCGAGUCGUUGAUUUCACACUGCCGAGAAAAGCCUCUAGAUAGAAAAUAGGUGCCCGUACCGCAAACCGACACAGGUAGUCAAGAUGAGAAUUCUAAGGUGAGCGAGCGAACUCUCGUUAAGGAACUCGGCAAAAUGACCCCGUAACUUCGGGAGAAGGGGUGCUCUUUAGGGUUAACGCCCAGAAGAGCCGCAGUGAAUAGGCCCAAGCGACUGUUUAUCAAAAACACAGGUCUCUGCUAAACCGUAAGGUGAUGUAUAGGGGCUGACGCCUGCCCGGUGCUGGAAGGUUAAGAGGAGUGGUUAGCUUCUGCGAAGCUACGAAUCGAAGCCCCAGUAAACGGCGGCCGUAACUAUAACGGUCCUAAGGUAGCGAAAUUCCUUGUCGGGUAAGUUCCGACCCGCACGAAAGGCGUAACGAUUUGGGCACUGUCUCAACGAGAGACUCGGUGAAAUCAUAGUACCUGUGAAGAUGCAGGUUACCCGCGACAGGACGGAAAGACCCCGUGGAGCUUUACUGUAGCCUGAUAUUGAAAUUCGGCACAGCUUGUACAGGAUAGGUAGGAGCCUUUGAAACGUGAGCGCUAGCUUACGUGGAGGCGCUGGUGGGAUACUACCCUAGCUGUGUUGGCUUUCUAACCGGCACCACUUAUCGUGGUGGGAGACAGUGUCAAGCGGGCAGUUUGACUGGGGCGGUCGCCUCCUAAAAGGUAACGGAGGCGCUCAAAGGUUCCCUCAGAAUGGUUGGAAAUCAUUCAUAGAGUGUAAAGGCAUAAGGGAGCUUGACUGCGAGACCUACAAGUCGAGCAGGGUCGAAAGACGGACUUAGUGAUCCGGUGGUUCCGCAUGGAAGGGCCAUCGCUCAACGGAUAAAAGCUACCCCGGGGAUAACAGGCUUAUCUCCCCCAAGAGUUCACAUCGACGGGGAGGUUUGGCACCUCGAUGUCGGCUCAUCGCAUCCUGGGGCUGUAGUCGGUCCCAAGGGUUGGGCUGUUCGCCCAUUAAAGCGGUACGCGAGCUGGGUUCAGAACGUCGUGAGACAGUUCGGUCCCUAUCCGUCGUGGGCGUAGGAAAUUUGAGAGGAGCUGUCCUUAGUACGAGAGGACCGGGAUGGACAUACCUCUGGUGUACCAGUUGUCGUGCCAACGGCAUAGCUGGGUAGCUAUGUGUGGACGGGAUAAGUGCUGAAAGCAUCUAAGCAUGAAGCCCCCCUCAAGAUGAGAUUUCCCAACUUCGGUUAUAAGAUCCCUCAAAGAUGAUGAGGUUAAUAGGUUCGAGGUGGAAGCAUGGUGACAUGUGGAGCUGACGAAUACUAAUCGAUCGAAGACUUAAUCAA
Molecule: ribosomal RNA, 2921 nt
Filed under: Staphylococcus aureus M0108
Lineage: Bacteria; Bacillati; Bacillota; Bacilli; Caryophanales; Staphylococcaceae
Description: bacterial LSU rRNA
Rfam family: Bacterial large subunit ribosomal RNA
Source: RNAcentral